Molecule: non-coding RNA, 92 nt
Filed under: Thiohalorhabdus denitrificans
Lineage: Bacteria; Pseudomonadati; Pseudomonadota; Gammaproteobacteria; Thiohalorhabdales; Thiohalorhabdaceae
Description: Glycine sequence
Rfam family: Glycine riboswitch aptamer
About the family: This family represents the bacterial glycine riboswitch.
Source: Rfam by way of RNAcentral
ACGAUCCCGAUGGGAGAGACCCCGCCGUAGGCGGGGCGCCGAAGGGGAAACUCCUCCCGGAAGCUCUCAGGCAAAAGGACCAUCGGGGGAUG